Molecule: ribosomal RNA, 2272 nt
Filed under: Salmonella enterica subsp. enterica serovar Enteritidis
Lineage: Bacteria; Pseudomonadati; Pseudomonadota; Gammaproteobacteria; Enterobacterales; Enterobacteriaceae
Description: partial 23S ribosomal RNA
Rfam family: Bacterial large subunit ribosomal RNA
Source: RNAcentral
UGGGCGUUAAGUUGCAGGGUAUAGACCCGAAACCCGGUGAUCUAGCCAUGGGCAGGUUGAAGGUUGGGUAACACUAACUGGAGGACCGAACCGACUAAUGUUGAAAAAUUAGCGGAUGACCUGUGGCUGGGGGUGAAAGGCCAAUCAAACCGGGAGAUAGCUGGUUCUCCCCGAAAGCUAUUUAGGUAGCGCCUCGUGAAUUCAUCUCCGGGGGUAGAGCACUGUUUCGGCUAGGGGGCCAUCCCGGCUUACCAACCCGAUGCAAACUGCGAAUACCGGAGAAUGUUAUCACGGGAGACACACGGCGGGUGCUAACGUCCGUCGUGAAGAGGGAAACAACCCAGACCGCCAGCUAAGGUCCCAAAGUCAUGGUUAAGUGGGAAACGAUGUGGGAAGGCCCAGACAGCCAGGAUGUUGGCUUAGAAGCAGCCAUCAUUUAAAGAAAGCGUAAUAGCUCACUGGUCGAGUCGGCCUGCGCGGAAGAUGUAACGGGGCUAAACCAUGCACCGAAGCUGCGGCAGCGACACUGUGUGUUGUUGGGUAGGGGAGCGUUCUGUAAGCCUGCGAAGGUGGCCUGUGAGGGUUGCUGGAGGUAUCAGAAGUGCGAAUGCUGACAUAAGUAACGAUAAAGCGGGUGAAAAGCCCGCUCGCCGGAAGACCAAGGGUUCCUGUCCAACGUUAAUCGGGGCAGGGUGAGUCGACCCCUAAGGCGAGGCCGAAAGGCGUAGUCGAUGGGAAACGGGUUAAUAUUCCCGUACUUGGUGUUACUGCGAAGGGGGGACGGAGAAGGCUAUGUUGGCCGGGCGACGGUUGUCCCGGUUUAAGCGUGUAGGUGUGUGUUCCAGGUAAAUCCGGUUCACUUUAACACUGAGGCGUGACGACGAGGCACUACGGUGCUGAAGCAACAAAUGCCCUGCUUCCAGGAAAAGCCUCUAAGCAUCAGGUAACAUCAAAUCGUACCCCAAACCGACACAGGUGGUCAGGUAGAGAAUACCAAGGCGCUUGAGAGAACUCGGGUGAAGGAACUAGGCAAAAUGGUGCCGUAACUUCGGGAGAAGGCACGCUGACACGUAGGUGAAGUGAUUUACUCAUGGAGCUGAAGUCAGUCGAAGAUACCAGCUGGCUGCAACUGUUUAUUAAAAACACAGCACUGUGCAAACACGAAAGUGGACGUAUACGGUGUGACGCCUGCCCGGUGCCGGAAGGUUAAUUGAUGGGGUCAGCGCAAGCGAAGCUCCUGAUCGAAGCCCCGGUAAACGGCGGCCGUAACUAUAACGGUCCUAAGGUAGCGAAAUUCCUUGUCGGGUAAGUUCCGACCUGCACGAAUGGCGUAAUGAUGGCCAGGCUGUCUCCACCCGAGACUCAGUGAAAUUGAACUCGCUGUGAAGAUGCAGUGUACCCGCGGCAAGACGGAAAGACCCCGUGAACCUUUACUAUAGCUUGACACUGAACAUUGAGCCUUGAUGUGUAGGAUAGGUGGGAGGCUUUGAAGUGUGGACGCCAGUCUGCAUGGAGCCGACCUUGAAAUACCACCCUUUAAUGUUUGAUGUUCUAACGUGGACCCGUUACCCGGGUUGCGGACAGUGUCUGGUGGGUAGUUUGACUGGGGCGGUCUCCUCCUAAAGAGUAACGGAGGAGCACGAAGGUUGGCUAAUCCUGGUCGGACAUCAGGAGGUUAGUGCAAUGGCAUAAGCCAGCUUGACUGCGAGCGUGACGGCGCGAGCAGGUGCGAAAGCAGGUCAUAGUGAUCCGGUGGUUCUGAAUGGAAGGGCCAUCGCUCAACGGAUAAAAGGUACUCCGGGGAUAACAGGCUGAUACCGCCCAAGAGUUCAUAUCGACGGCGGUGUUUGGCACCUCGAUGUCGGCUCAUCACAUCCUGGGGCUGAAGUAGGUCCCAAGGGUAUGGCUGUUCGCCAUUUAAAGUGGUACGCGAGCUGGGUUUAGAACGUCGUGAGACAGUUCGGUCCCUAUCUGCCGUGGGCGCUGGAGAACUGAGGGGGGCUGCUCCUAGUACGAGAGGACCGGAGUGGACGCAUCACUGGUGUUCGGGUUGUCAUGCCAAUGGCACUGCCCGGUAGCUAAAUGCGGAAGAGAUAAGUGCUGAAAGCAUCUAAGCACGAAACUUGCCCCGAGAUGAGUUCUCCCUGAGACUUAGAGUCUCCUGAAGGAACGUUGAAGACGACGACGUUGAUAGGCCGGGUGUGUAAGCGCAGCGAUGCGUUGAGCUAACCGGUACUAAUGAACCGUGAGGCUUAACCUUACAACGCCGAAG